CCGCGUGAGGGAUGACGGCCUAUGGGUUGUAAACCUCUUUUUUCAGGGAGGAAUCAAUGACGUGUACCUGAAGAAUAAGCAUCGGCUAACUCCGUGCCAGCAGCCGCGGUAAGACGGAGGAUGCAAGUGUUAUCCGGAAUCACUGGGCGUAAAGCGUCUGUAGGUGGUCAAAUAAGUCAACUGUUAAAUCUUGAGGCUCAACCUCAAAACCGCAGUCGAAACUAUUAGACUAGAGUAUAGUAGGGGUAAAGGGAAUUUCCAGUGGAGCGGUGAAAUGCGUACAGAUUGGAAGGAACACCGAUGGCGAANGCACUUUACUGGGCUAUCACUAACACUCAGAGACGAAAGCUAGGGUAGCA
This 359-nucleotide ribosomal RNA is filed under the name uncultured diatom. Its description in RNAcentral is "bacterial SSU rRNA". It matches the Rfam family "Bacterial small subunit ribosomal RNA", at positions 397 to 770 of the family's 1533-position model. Lineage: Eukaryota; Bacillariophyta. The record is from RNAcentral.